This 72-nucleotide transfer RNA is filed under the name Canis lupus familiaris (dog). It matches the Rfam family "tRNA". Rfam says of the family: Transfer RNA (tRNA) molecules are approximately 80 nucleotides in length. Their secondary structure includes four short double-helical elements and three loops (D, anti-codon, and T loops). Lineage: Eukaryota; Metazoa; Chordata; Mammalia; Carnivora; Canidae. RNAcentral also lists the same sequence under 1 other name. The record is from Rfam by way of RNAcentral.
UCCUGGCUGGCUCAGUGGUAAAGCAUGUGACUCUUCAUCGCAGGGUGGUGAGUUCAAUCCCCACGUUGGGUG